UCACUUGUUCUUUAAAUGGGGACUAGUAUGAAUGGCACCACGAGGGUUACACUGUCUCCUCCAUCUAAUCAGUGAAACUAAUCUCCCCGUGAAGAAGCGGGGAUAUAACUAUAAGACGAGAAGACCCUAUGGAGCUUUAAACUUCCCUUCAAACGCCAGAUUACUUCAAUUGUCAGCGACUUUAUUAUAUAUACCUCAGCGUUAUGAAGACGACUUUUAGGUUGGGGUGACCGCGGAGUACAAAAUAACCUCCACGUUGAACAGGCCUCCAAGCCUUGAACAAAGGACUACAGCCCAAUGUACUAAAAAACUAACACCAUUGACCCAAUAUAUUUUGAUCAACGAACCAAGUUACCCUAGGGAUAACAGCGCAAUCUACUUCAAGAGUCCCUAUCGACAAGUAGGUUUACGACCUCGAUGUUGGAUCAGGGUAUCCCAGUGGUGCAGCCGCUACUAAAGGUUCGUUUGUUCA
RNAcentral lists this ribosomal RNA (472 nucleotides) under Scinax iquitorum. RNAcentral describes it as "partial 16S ribosomal RNA". It matches the Rfam family "Bacterial large subunit ribosomal RNA", at positions 1965 to 2583 of the family's 2925-position model. Lineage: Eukaryota; Metazoa; Chordata; Amphibia; Anura; Hylidae. The record is from RNAcentral.